AAGAAGAUGAUGAUUCGAGGCUAUAACCUUGGAAUAAUGCUGCCGACCGGUACCAAGGGUUUAGAGAAGAUGAAUGUUGAUCAAGAGGAACAAAAAUACCGAAGGAUUUUGGCUUUAGAAAAAUCGGCACAAGUAGUGAGUUUCAGGAUUCAGUUUUUAUGGCGAACGGCUAUGGAGGUUUUUUGGAGGAUGGGAUCGACAGAGAAGGUGAGUAGGGUGAUCAGAAGGUUUUGGCUAAUAGAAGAAGCAUAAG
Molecule: long non-coding RNA, 253 nt
Filed under: Gossypium barbadense (sea-island cotton)
Lineage: Eukaryota; Viridiplantae; Streptophyta; Magnoliopsida; Malvales; Malvaceae
Description: long non-coding RNA (GBAR_LNC000663)
Source: RNAcentral